GGAGGGUGCAAGCGUUAAUCGGAAUUACUGGGCGUAAAGCGCGCGUAGGCGGUUAUAUAAGUCGGAUGUGAAAGCCCUGGGCUCAACCUGGGAACUGCAUUCGAUACUGUAUAACUAGAGUUUGGUAGAGGGAAGUGGAAUUCCACAUGUAGCGGUGAAAUGCGUAGAUAUGUGGAGGAACACCAGUGGCGAAGGCGACUUCCUGGACCAAAACUGACGCUGAGGUGCGAAAGCGUGGGUAGCAAACAGGGAUUAGAUACCCUGGUAGUCCACGCCGUAAACGAUGUCAACUAGCCCGUUGGGGGAAUUUGUCCCCUUAGUGGCGCAGCUAACGCGAUAAGUUGACCGCCUGGGGAGUACGGUCGCAAGAUUA
Molecule: ribosomal RNA, 373 nt
Filed under: uncultured organism
Description: partial 16S ribosomal RNA
Rfam family: Bacterial small subunit ribosomal RNA
Source: RNAcentral